GCACACAGAAGGAACUUGUUCCUUGGGUGGCGAGCGGCGGACGGGUGAGUAAUGCCUGGGAAAUUGCCCGGUAGAGGGGGAUAACCAUUGGAAACGAUGGCUAAUACCGCAUAACCUCGCAAGAGCAAAGCAGGGGACCUUCGGGCCUUGCGCUACCGGAUAUGCCCAGGUGGGAUUAGCUAGUUGGUGAGGUAAGGGCUCACCAAGGCGACGAUCCCUAGCUGGUCUGAGAGGAUGAUCAGCCACACUGGAACUGAGACACGGUCCAGACUCCUACGGGAGGCAGCAGUGGUCAAGAAUUUUUUCCUGAA
RNAcentral lists this ribosomal RNA (311 nucleotides) under Vibrio sp. KB4. RNAcentral describes it as "bacterial SSU rRNA". It matches the Rfam family "Bacterial small subunit ribosomal RNA", at positions 66 to 357 of the family's 1533-position model. The record is from RNAcentral. Lineage: Bacteria; Pseudomonadati; Pseudomonadota; Gammaproteobacteria; Vibrionales; Vibrionaceae.